UCAAGAAACUUCCACAAUGGGCGAAAGCCUGAUGGAGCGACGUCGCGUGAUGGACGAAGUGCUUCGGCACGUAAACAUCUUUUAUGUGGGAUGAAAUUAUUGACAGUACCACAUGAAUAAGGGGCUCCUAACUCUGUGCCAGCAGGAGCGGUAAUACAGAGGCCCCAAGCGUUAUCCGGAAUCACUGGGCGUAAAGGGCGCGUAGGCGGCCCCAUAAGUCUCGUGUGAAAGCCCUCGGCUUAACUGAGGAUCUGCACGGGGUACUGUGGGGCUCGAGUUCGGGAGAGGAAAGCGGAAUUCCGGGUGUAGCGGUGAAAUGCGUAGAUAUCCGGAGGAACACCAGUGGCGAAGGCGGCUUUCUGGACCGACACUGACGCUGAGGCGCGAAAGCUAGGGGAGCAAACGGGAUUAGAUACCCCAGUAGUCCCUGAGCGGGCUGGCAAGGCGCAU
Molecule: ribosomal RNA, 450 nt
Filed under: uncultured bacterium
Lineage: Bacteria
Description: bacterial SSU rRNA
Rfam family: Bacterial small subunit ribosomal RNA
Source: RNAcentral